Molecule: ribosomal RNA, 432 nt
Filed under: uncultured bacterium
Lineage: Bacteria
Description: bacterial SSU rRNA
Rfam family: Bacterial small subunit ribosomal RNA
Source: RNAcentral
AGAGUUUGAUCCUGGCUCAGAACGAACGCUGGCGGCGUGGAUAAGACAUGCAAGUCGAGCGGGGCAUUUCGGGUAGCAAUAUUCGAGGUGUUCAGCGGCGCAAGGGUGCGUAACACGUGGGUAAUCUUCCCUAAAGCUUGGGAUAACUCCGAGAAAUCGGAGCUAAUACCAAAUGUGAUGAUUGGAAGGCAUCUUCUGCUCAUCAAAGUUGGGGACCGUAAGGCCUGACACUUUAGGAUUAGCCCGCGGCCUAUCAGCUAGUUGGUGAGGUAACGGCUCACCAAGGCUAAGACGGGUAGCUGGUCUGAGAGGACGACCAGCCACACUGGAACUGAGACACGGUCCAGACACCUACGGGUGGCAGCAGUCGAGAAUUUUUCUCAAUGGGGGAAACCCUGAAGGAGCGACGCCGCGUGGGGGAUGAAUGGCUUC